This 301-nucleotide ribosomal RNA is filed under the name uncultured bacterium. RNAcentral's name for it is "partial 16S ribosomal RNA". It matches the Rfam family "Bacterial small subunit ribosomal RNA", at positions 509 to 809 of the family's 1533-position model. The record is from RNAcentral.
CAGUAGCCGCGGUAAUACGAGGGGGGCAAGCGUUGUUCGGAAUUAUUGGGCGUAAAGGGUGCGUAGGCGGUCUGAUAAGUCUUAUGUGAAAUCUAUGGGCUCAACCCAUAGUCUGCAUAGGAAACUGUCGGGCUUGAGAGUGGGAGAGGUGAGUGGAAUUUCCGGUGUAGCGGUGAAAUGCGUAGAUAUCGGAAGCAACACCUGUGGCGAAAGCGGCUCACUGGACCAUUUCUGACGCUGAUGCACGAAAGCUAGGGGAGCAAACAGGAUUAGAUACCCGGGUAGUCCCUGUCUCUUAUAA